Molecule: transfer RNA, 63 nt
Filed under: Opisthotropis guangxiensis
Lineage: Eukaryota; Metazoa; Chordata; Lepidosauria; Squamata; Natricidae
Description: tRNA-Pro
Rfam family: tRNA
About the family: Transfer RNA (tRNA) molecules are approximately 80 nucleotides in length. Their secondary structure includes four short double-helical elements and three loops (D, anti-codon, and T loops).
Source: RNAcentral
CAAAGAGUAGUUUAAAGUUAAAAUUCUAGCUUUGGGGGCUAGAGAUGAGAUUCUCUUCUUUGA